CGGCCUUAGUGGCGCACGGGUGCGUAACGCGUGGGAAUCUGCCCCUUGGUUCGGAAUAACAGUUGGAAACGACUGCUAAUACCGGAUGAUGACGUAAGUCCAAAGAUUUAUCGCCGAGGGAUGAGCCCGCGUAGGAUUAGGUAGUUGGUGUGGUAAAGGCGCACCAAGCCGACGAUCCUUAGCUGGUCUGAGAGGAUGAUCAGCCACACUGGGACUGAGACACGGCCCAGACUCCUACGGGAGGCAGCAGUGGGGAAUAUUGGACAAUGGGCGAAAGCCUGAUCCAGCAAUGCCGCGUGAGUGAUGAAGGCCUUAGGGUUGUAAAGCUCUUUUACCCGGGAUGAUAAUGACAGUACCGGGAGAAUAAGCUCCGGCUAACUCCGUGCCAGCAGCCGCGGUAAUACGGAGGGAGCUAGCGUUAUUCGGAAUUACUGGGCGUAAAGCGCACGUAGGCGGCUUUGUAAGUAAGAGGUGAAAGCCCAGAGCUCAACUCUGGAAUUGCCUUUUAGACUGCAUCGCUUGAAUCAUGGAGAGGUCAGUGGAAUUCCGAGUGUAGAGGUGAAAUUCGUAGAUAUUCGGAAGA
Molecule: ribosomal RNA, 583 nt
Filed under: uncultured Sphingomonas sp.
Lineage: Bacteria; Pseudomonadati; Pseudomonadota; Alphaproteobacteria; Sphingomonadales; Sphingomonadaceae
Description: bacterial SSU rRNA
Rfam family: Bacterial small subunit ribosomal RNA
Source: RNAcentral